CACGUAGGCGGACUUUUAAGUCAGGGGUGAAAUCCCGGGGCUCAACCUCGGAACUGCCUUUGAUACUGGUAGACUUGAGUGUGAUUGAGGUAGCUGGAAUGGAUAGUGUAGCGGUGAAAUGCAUAGAUAUUAUCCAGAACACCGAUUGCGAAGGCAGGUUACUAAGUCAUAACUGACGCUGAGGCACGAAAGUGUGGGGAUCAAACAGGAUUAGAUACCCCAGUA
RNAcentral lists this ribosomal RNA (225 nucleotides) under uncultured Flectobacillus sp. RNAcentral's name for it is "partial 16S ribosomal RNA". It matches the Rfam family "Bacterial small subunit ribosomal RNA", at positions 568 to 792 of the family's 1533-position model. The record is from RNAcentral. Lineage: Bacteria; Pseudomonadati; Bacteroidota; Cytophagia; Cytophagales; Flectobacillaceae.